UGGACCAGAACUGACGCUCAUGCACGAAAGCGUGGGGAGCAAACAGGAUUAGAUACCCUGGUAGUCCACGCCCUAACGGUGUCACUGGUUUUGGACGGUUGAACGUUCCUGGCCCACUCAACGCGUUAAAUGCCCGCCGGGGAGAAACGGCCCCAGUUAAAACUCAAGAAAUUGACGGGACCCCCCAAACCGUGGAAGCAGUGGGUU
RNAcentral lists this ribosomal RNA (207 nucleotides) under uncultured bacterium. RNAcentral describes it as "partial 16S ribosomal RNA". It matches the Rfam family "Bacterial small subunit ribosomal RNA", at positions 730 to 947 of the family's 1533-position model. The record is from RNAcentral.